UAAGGGAACCUCAGGAUGGAUUCUAGAACAAUCGGUACACAGGUGACCAUUCAACUGUAAAGCUUCUAUGAGUGUUUAGGCAAAGGAUUCCUGAGAAGAUCUGAGCUGGAUGGAACUAGAAAUAGUGAAAAAUAAAAAAUGUAACAGUGUCUGCUGCUUCUAGUCAACAUGGAUUGCAGAUCAACACAGCUGAUCUCAAUUUGAACAUGAAUGCUCAUUCAAAAAACCCCAGGUCUCCAACCAUCUCCCGCUCGUUGGUUUUGACUAAGCAAAUUCCGAGACAGCAGCCAAUGCGAUGAAGAGCCAAUGCCAAGGGCUGGUUCCCUCCCUUCAGUUAAUCCUCUCAGGAAACAGACUCAAAGUCACACCCAACGCUCUGAUUCCCUAAUGCCCUAGGUGUUUGCUAAUUCAAACAAGUUGGCAAUGAGGAUUAGCCCUCACAGCUCAUCCUAGGAUACAAAGAGGCCAUACAACAAGGAGAGAGAUGGGCUGAGGGUUACUAUGUAAGAAAGAGGGAGAAACUUUAGACAUUUUUCCUCUAGUUGCAGCCAGGGAAACUGUACAGGGAAAAAAAAGGGGAGAUGAGGGGGAGAUCUAGACAUGACCCAACCUUUAAUGCCAUGGUCGCUGCCCCUAAGAAAUUUAGAAUGGCACAUCCUUCUUUGUUGUUCACUAAGGCAUCUUAUACACCGAUGCCCAUUGCUGGCACUUUAAAAGUGCUCGAAAUAUUUGAUAAGAGUAGGUGUGGUUGCACUCAGGAGGCAGAGGCAAGAGAAUUUUUGUGAGUUCAAAGCCUAGGAACUUUGGAGGGUUUCUAAAAGCCAAAAAAGAUUUUUCAGAGGAUGACUCUCUCUGAAUAGAAAAACUCAAAGAUAAGAAGAAACAUUAGGCUCUCUCUCUCCCUCCUCUCUUCCUGCUACUGCCCCCUCUCUCCCUCUCAAUUAAACCUCUUACACAUGGAA
Molecule: long non-coding RNA, 962 nt
Organism: Mastomys coucha (southern multimammate mouse)
Lineage: Eukaryota; Metazoa; Chordata; Mammalia; Rodentia; Muridae
Exons: 4
Source: RefSeq, a predicted model, not a curated record